CACUGACAUCAUUUAGGUGCAUUUUCAGUCAUCCUGACUUUUGUCUUGCCACAGGAUUUAGAUGACUCUGGAAGAAAGAGUGAGGCUGACAACUCUGGGCAACUCACUUAAAUCCAAUUCACACAUAAGUUAAGAUAUUACCCUGUGAUGUCACUGGUAUUCUUUGAAAUGAAGGGUCACCACCACCACCACCAAUUGAUGGAACAUAUUUUUUAUUGACUGAAUCAUCCUUUUAUCUUCUUAAAUCUAGCUUUGUUUUAAACUGCCCUUGCAGCUGGCUAAUAUUUUCUUGUAGAUUCCAUAUGAUCAGUUUUUCAGGAGGAAGCUCAAAAAUUAUCUAUUUAAUCCAUUCAUUUUGUAGGUGAGGAAAAUGAAGCCCAGAGAAUACAUAUAGAUGACUAGCUCCCCUGCUAAGACUUCAAGUGUCUUGCCUCUAAAUCCAAUGCUCUAUGUUCUUACCUCUGCAUGAUAAUAUAGAGGGUCAUUAGCAAUAGGAAGCAAUUAAAGGUUGCUGUUGCCUCUGGUUAAACCUAGGAAGAAACUUAUACUGUUCUACUCAUUGAAUUAUUCAUAUUCUUAGAUAUCACAAUUAAAAAAGAACCAGUAGAAGAAUUAGUAGAAGAGGAGAUCAGCAGUGGCAAACCUGCAAUGGGAAAAGCUAUAAUGCAGUUUUCCUGGUUUUGCAAUGUCCAAGGAUACAAUUGGAGGAACUUCUUUUGUUUUAAAAAACAUGAUAAACAAGUACAGAAUGUGCGCAAGCAGGAAGAAACUGACCUAAAGUGCAUUGGCAUCACUAAGAAGAGAGAUCGCAAGAAAAUCCUUAAGGGAAUUAAGAAAAUUCAACAGACAGAAAAAAAUUAAUACAAUCUAACAAUUAAAUAUAUCAAAAAGAUAAUUCUGGAAGAUACAGCAAAAAUGAGAAAAAUAUAAUUACAUGAUAUUUACCUUUAAUCUACUACUUCAACAUAUUAUUGAAACCUUCUGAUUCUUCUGCCAUGAAUCUAGCACACAUUUACUGAGGAGCAGUGAUGGAUGGAAUGACCAUAUAAGCCAAGAGAUUUUGGUGGACCACUGAUCAAGGUGUUCCAAAGAUGAUCAUUCAUUCACUCAUUUCUGCCUUAGCCUGAAAAAGAGCAUCCUGUUUGUUGCACUCUGGAUUCCUUUUUUAUCUUUGGUCCUAGGCUUUUCAGCCUUUGUCUACCAAUUCUUAUGUUGUGUAUACCUUAGAGAAUAAUUACCAUGAUGUAUAUCCCCAAUUAAUUCACUAUGCAAUUUUGAAAAUAAAAACUCUGUCUGCUCUUUGAUGCCUACCUUC
RNAcentral lists this long non-coding RNA (1315 nucleotides) under Monodelphis domestica (gray short-tailed opossum). RNAcentral's name for it is "lncRNA (ENSMODG00000034443.2)". The record is from RNAcentral. Lineage: Eukaryota; Metazoa; Chordata; Mammalia; Didelphimorphia; Didelphidae.